Molecule: transfer RNA, 62 nt
Filed under: Nocardioides psychrotolerans
Lineage: Bacteria; Bacillati; Actinomycetota; Actinomycetes; Propionibacteriales; Nocardioidaceae
Description: Nocardioides sp. CGMCC 1.11156 tRNA
Rfam family: tRNA
About the family: Transfer RNA (tRNA) molecules are approximately 80 nucleotides in length. Their secondary structure includes four short double-helical elements and three loops (D, anti-codon, and T loops).
Source: Rfam by way of RNAcentral
GCUUCAGACCCCGGAUCGGACUUCUAAUCCGCCGGUCACAGGUUCGAAUCCUGUCGGGGGCA